AGUUCUGGUGUCAGCCGCCGCGGUAAAACCAGCACCUCAAGUGGUCAGGAGGAUUAUUGGGCCUAAAGCAUCCGUAGCCUGUUCUAUAAGUUUGCGGUUAAAUCUAUACGCUCAACGUAUAGGCUGCUGUAAAUACUGUAGAACUAGGGAGUGGGAGAGGUAGACGGUACUCGGUAGGAAGGGGUAAAAUCCUUUGAUCUAUUGAUGACCACCUGUGGCGAAGGCGGUCUACCAGAACACGUUCGACGGUGAGGGAUGAAAGCUGGGGGAGCAAACCGGAUUAGAUACCCGGGUAGUCCCAGCUGUAAACGAUGCAGACUCGAUGAUGCAAUGGCAUAGAGCUAUUGCAGUAUCGCAGGGAAGCCGUUAAGUCUGCCGCCUGGGAAGUACGUACGCAAGUAUGAAACUUAAAGGAAUUGGCGGGGGAGCACCACAA
Molecule: ribosomal RNA, 436 nt
Filed under: uncultured crenarchaeote
Lineage: Archaea; Thermoproteati; Thermoproteota
Description: bacterial SSU rRNA
Rfam family: Archaeal small subunit ribosomal RNA
Source: RNAcentral